RNAcentral lists this ribosomal RNA (1492 nucleotides) under uncultured organism. RNAcentral describes it as "SSU rRNA". It matches the Rfam family "Bacterial small subunit ribosomal RNA". The record is from RNAcentral.
GAACGCUGGCGGCGUGCCUAAUACAUGCAAGUCGAACGAGUUCUGAUUAUUGAAAGGUGCUUGCAUCUUGAUUUUAAUUUUGAACGAGUGGCGGACGGGUGAGUAACACGUGGGUAACCUGCCCUUAAGUGGGGGAUAACAUUUGGAAACAGAUGCUAAUACCGCAUAAAUCCAAGAACCGCAUGGUUCUUGGCUGAAAGAUGGCGUAAGCUAUCGCUUUUGGAUGGACCCGCGGCGUAUUAGCUAGUUGGUGAGGUAACGGCUCACCAAGGCAAUGAUACGUAGCCGAACUGAGAGGUUGAUCGGCCACAUUGGGACUGAGACACGGCCCAAACUCCUACGGGAGGCAGCAGUAGGGAAUCUUCCACAAUGGACGCAAGUCUGAUGGAGCAACGCCGCGUGAGUGAAGAAGGCUUUCGGGUCGUAAAACUCUGUUGUUGGAGAAGAAUGGUCGGCAGAGUAACUGUUGUCGGCGUGACGGUAUCCAACCAGAAAGCCACGGCUAACUACGUGCCAGCAGCCGCGGUAAUACGUAGGUGGCAAGCGUUAUCCGGAUUUAUUGGGCGUAAAGCGAGCGCAGGCGGUUUUUUAAGUCUGAUGUGAAAGCCCUCGGCUUAACCGAGGAAGUGCAUCGGAAACUGGGAAACUUGAGUGCAGAAGAGGACAGUGGAACUCCAUGUGCAGCGGUGAAAUGCGUAGAUAUAUGGAAGAACACCAGUGGCGAAAGCGGCUGUCUGGUCUGUAACUGACGCUGAGGGCUUCGAAAGCAUGGGUAGCGAACAGGAUUAGAUACCCUGGUAGUCCAUGCCGUAAACGAUGAAUGCUAGGUGUUGGAGGGUUUCCGCCCUUCAGUGCCGCAGCUAACGCAUUAAGCAUUCCGCCUGGGGAGUACGACCGCAAGGUUGAAACUCAAAGGAAUUGACGGGGGCCCGCACAAGCGGUGGAGCAUGUGGUUUAAUUCGAAGCAACGCGAAGAACCUUACCAGGUCUUGACAUCUUUUGAUCACCUGAGAGAUCAGGUUUCCCCUUCGGGGGCAAAAUGACAGGUGGUGCAUGGUUGUCGUCAGCUCGUGUCGUGAGAUGUUGGGUUAAGUCCCGCAACGAGCGCAACCCUUAUGACUAGUUGCCAGCAUUUAGUUGGGCACUCUAGUAAGACUGCCGGUGACAAACCGGAGGAAGGUGGGGAUGACGUCAAAUCAUCAUGCCCCUUAUGACCUGGGCUACACACGUGCUACAAUGGAUGGUACAACGAGUUGCGAGACCGCGAGGUCAAGCUAAUCUCUUAAAGCCAUUCUCAGUUCGGACUGUAGGCUGCAACUCGCCUACACAAAGUCGGAAUCGCUAGUAAUCGCGGAUCAGCACGCCGCGGUGAAUACGUUCCCGGGCCUUGUACACACCGCCCGUCACACCAUGAGAGCUUGUAACACCCGAAGCCGGUGGCGUAACCCUUUUAGGGAGCGAGCCGUCUAAGGUGGGACAAAUGAUUAGGGUG